UGUGGCUUAAUUUGACUCAACGCGGAAAAGCUUAUCUGGUCCGGACGCAGUGAGGAUUGACAGACAGUUUCAGGAGUGGUUCUUGGUAAACAAUUGAGAGAGUUGAAGUUCUUUCAUGAUCUUGUGAGAGGUGGUGCAUGGCCGUUCUUAGUUCGUGUAGUGAUAUGUCUGCCUAAUCGCGUCACGAUAACCUAUUGGUCGACAACCCAAUUAUCACAACUGCAGCAUAACUCCCCUUGGGUGGGCGAGGCUCUGUGUAGGAUAGACCUCUGAACAGUACGCAACGAACGCGAUCGUAAUCCCUUGUUGAGUGGCCAUCCUGUAAGCUGCUGGAUUAGGAACCCAGUG
RNAcentral lists this ribosomal RNA (348 nucleotides) under Globigerina bulloides. RNAcentral describes it as "bacterial SSU rRNA". It matches the Rfam family "Eukaryotic small subunit ribosomal RNA", at positions 1184 to 1395 of the family's 1831-position model. Lineage: Eukaryota; Foraminifera; Rotaliida; Globigerinidae. The record is from RNAcentral.